Molecule: ribosomal RNA, 173 nt
Filed under: uncultured bacterium
Lineage: Bacteria
Description: partial 16S ribosomal RNA
Rfam family: Bacterial small subunit ribosomal RNA
Source: RNAcentral
CUCCUACGGGAGGCAGCAGUGGGGAAUAUUGGACAAUGGGGGCAACCCUGAUCCAGCCAUGCCGCGUGAACGAUGAAGGCCUUCGGGUUGUAAAGUUCUUUUGACGGGGACGAUGAUGACGGUACCCGUAGAAUAAGCACCGGCUAACUUCGUGCCAGCAGCCGCGGUAAUAC